Molecule: ribosomal RNA, 659 nt
Filed under: Staphylococcus aureus
Lineage: Bacteria; Bacillati; Bacillota; Bacilli; Caryophanales; Staphylococcaceae
Description: partial 23S ribosomal RNA
Rfam family: Bacterial large subunit ribosomal RNA
Source: RNAcentral
GGUGAAAAGCACCCCGGAAGGGGAGUGAAAUAGAACCUGAAACCGUGUGCUUACAAGUAGUCAGAGCCCGUUAAUGGGUGAUGGCGUGCCUUUUGUAGAAUGAACCGGCGAGUUACGAUUUGAUGCAAGGUUAAGCAGUAAAUGUGGAGCCGUAGCGAAAGCGAGUCUGAAUAGGGCGUUUAGUAUUUGGUCGUAGACCCGAAACCAGGUGAUCUACCCUUGGUCAGGUUGAAGUUCAGGUAACACUGAAUGGAGGACCGAACCGACUUACGUUGAAAAGUGAGCGGAUGAACUGAGGGUAGCGGAGAAAUUCCAAUCGAACCUGGAGAUAGCUGGUUCUCUCCGAAAUAGCUUUAGGGCUAGCCUCAAGUGAUGAUUAUUGGAGGUAGAGCACUGUUUGGACGAGGGGCCCCUCUCGGGUUACCGAAUUCAGACAAACUCCGAAUGCCAAUUAAUUUAACUUGGGAGUCAGAACAUGGGUGAUAAGGUCCGUGUUCGAAAGGGAAACAGCCCAGACCACCAGCUAAGGUCCCAAAAUAUAUGUUAAGUGGAAAAGGAUGUGGCGUUGCCCAGACAACUAGGAUGUUGGCUUAGAAGCAGCCAUCAUUUAAAGAGUGCGUAAUAGCUCACUAGUCGAGUGACACUGCGCCGAAAAUGUA